RNAcentral lists this non-coding RNA (207 nucleotides) under Metabacillus harenarius. Its description in RNAcentral is "Bacillus weihaiensis T-box sequence". It matches the Rfam family "T-box leader". Rfam says of the family: Uncharged tRNA acts as the effector for transcription antitermination of genes in the T-box leader family. T-boxes are found upstream of many aminoacyl-tRNA synthetase genes and some amino acid biosynthetic genes usually in Gram-positive bacteria. The record is from RNAcentral. Lineage: Bacteria; Bacillati; Bacillota; Bacilli; Caryophanales; Bacillaceae.
UAAUCGGCUUUGAUAAAGAGUAGUACAUAUACGGUUCAUUUACAGAGAGCUUGUGGUUGCUGUGAACAGGUAAUGACCUAUAUGGAAUGGACUUUUGAGCUUCUAUACAGAACUAAAGUAUGUAUAGACGUGGUUCUUGCGUUAAAGAAUUAAGUGAUUUCUACUAUAGAAAUAAGUAGGGUGGCACCGCGGUCCAUCGUCCCUAUA